GAUCCUGGCUCAGGACGAACGCUGGCGGCGUGCUUAACACAUGCAAGUCGAACGAGAAUCUGUGGAAAGAGGAUUCGUCCAAUUGAAGCAGAGGACAGUGGCGGACGGGUGAGUAACGCGUGAGGAACCUGCCUUUCAGAGGGGGACAACAGUUGGAAACGACUGCUAAUACCGCAUAACAUAUAGAUGUCGCAUGGCAUUUAUAUCAAAGAUUUAUCGCUGAAUGAUGG
This 230-nucleotide ribosomal RNA is filed under the name uncultured bacterium. RNAcentral's name for it is "partial 16S ribosomal RNA". It matches the Rfam family "Bacterial small subunit ribosomal RNA", at positions 15 to 228 of the family's 1533-position model. The record is from RNAcentral.